UACGGAGGGUGCAAGCGUUAAUCGGAAUUACUGGGCGUAAAGCGCACGCAGGCGGUCUGUCAAGUCGGAUGUGAAAUCCCCGGGCUCAACCUGGGAACUGCAUUCGAAACUGGCAGGCUUGAGUCUCGUAGAGGGGGGUAGAAGUCCAGGUGGAGCGGUGAAAUGCGUCGCGCUCUGGAGGAAUACCGGUGGCGAAGGCGGCCCCCUGGACGAAGACUGACGCUCAGUUGCGAAAGCUUGGUGAGCAAACAGUAUUAGAUACCCCGUUAGUCC
RNAcentral lists this ribosomal RNA (273 nucleotides) under uncultured bacterium. RNAcentral describes it as "partial 16S ribosomal RNA". It matches the Rfam family "Bacterial small subunit ribosomal RNA", at positions 524 to 796 of the family's 1533-position model. The record is from RNAcentral.